Micropterus salmoides (largemouth bass) is the source of this 459-nucleotide long non-coding RNA. RefSeq lists it as uncharacterized. The record is from RefSeq and is a predicted model, not a curated record. The transcript has 2 exons. Lineage: Eukaryota; Metazoa; Chordata; Actinopteri; Centrarchiformes; Centrarchidae.
GGGGGCAUCGAGCAGGGGGGCAUCGAGCAGGAGGACGGCAGCUACGAGAGACCUGUGGGGAAGUAAUUGAUCGGACGGAACUGGCGCGGCAGCCGAGGUAACCGUGGGAGUAGUCGCUAUAGGGGCCUGUAAGGAGACGCCGGGCUGAGCCAGGAGCAACAUGAGUAGACGACCGCAGCAGGCGAGACGAGUGGCGAGGACUGCGGAGCAGACGGAGCGACCCGUGGAGCUGUUGGGCCGUGGGACGGAGGAAUCCCCAGAGGAACUGGUAGUUGCUGGGAACUGGCAAAUUAUGGGACAUUUCUCUCUUAUUUAGUUUUUUAAUCUGUGGCAUCACAUGGAUUUUAGUUAGGCUGUUUUAAACUUAUAAACAUUUUUUUAAUUGUAAUAAAUUAUUAACCUUGUUUUAGCUAGUGAUGGCGAGAUGAAGCUUCAUGAAGCACUGAAGCUUUCCAUCCA